GGUCGAAUGGUCUAGUGGUUAUGAUUCUCGCUUCACACGAGUGCGCGAGAGGUCCCGGGUUCGACCCCCGGUUCGACCU
Molecule: non-coding RNA, 79 nt
Organism: Fusarium tricinctum
Lineage: Eukaryota; Fungi; Ascomycota; Sordariomycetes; Hypocreales; Nectriaceae
Source: the annotation of a GenBank genome assembly